CUCAUUCACCGGCGACGGUGGGUUGUCCUCCAGGAUCUUGAGGUUUCCUCCUAAUUUUGUCCGUCAGCUGAGCAUCAAAGCCCGUAGAAACUGUAGCAACAUCGGUGUUGCGCAGAUCGUGGCGGCUAAGUGGUCCAACAACCCUUCCUCCGGGUUACCUUCGGCGGCGGCGGCGGCUGCUGCCUCGUCUGCAUCUGCGGUUUCUUCCGCCGCAUCUGCAGCCGCAGCCUCGUCCGCCGCCGCCGCCCCCGUGGCCGCCGUUCCUCCCGUCGUGCUUGAAAGCGUCGAUGAGGAGGUUCUGGUGGCCGGGGAGGGGAUCAGGGAGAAGAUAGGUAGUGUACAGC
Molecule: long non-coding RNA, 344 nt
Filed under: Capsella rubella
Lineage: Eukaryota; Viridiplantae; Streptophyta; Magnoliopsida; Brassicales; Brassicaceae
Description: long non-coding RNA (CRUB_LNC003487)
Source: RNAcentral